GGUGAUUCGAGGUUGGCUUAGGUGGAGUGGCGGAUCUGUUGUAGCGUUCUUCGACGACGACGACGAUUUGGAUCUACGAGGCAUCAAAGAGAUUUGUCUUCCAACUAUUUAUCAGCAAGUCUUCCCCCCUGGGUAACCUCAAUAUCAGAUCUAGCUGAGCGAAGCAUCGCAUUCUCAAAGAAGGACCCAAAUAGUUUGAAGCCUGGCCCGGCGUUGAACAAAGAUGGCAUGCUUGAUCUCACCAUUUUUAUCUGUGUCCUUGAACGAAAGAAAGACGAGGUACCUGCUCCUUGUUCUAUUGCUAUAUCUCAGGUUUGUUUCAUGUGAUUCAAGUUAACAAAUACUUUCUCACCUAUGAGCCUCUUGGUUGUUUUGCUGAGCAACGAAGCUGAGACAAGUGCGAACUCACUCUAAAGUGAGUUCAACUACUCUGAAUCUGGUAUGUCCUGAUACAUGUUUGAUUGAAGGACUCUACUUAUUGAUGCCGUCAUGACUCAACCGAACUCUUGAAUUUAGUCAUUGUGCAACAGAGGUUAUUCGUAAGGAAGGAUUGCUGUAUCAAGGGAAGGGUUGCAACCUUGGGGAGGAAGAGUCUUGAUGUUAAAAUUUUGAUGGGUUUAUCUGUAAAUUUUUAUUUACUGUAGUUUGAUACAUUUUAAAAUACAGUAUACAGUACAUUAAUGUAGAGGUGCCAGUUGGCACCUUAUUUUUUUAAUCC
RNAcentral lists this long non-coding RNA (718 nucleotides) under Rosa chinensis. Its description in RNAcentral is "sRNA RchiOBHm_Chr1g0370721". Lineage: Eukaryota; Viridiplantae; Streptophyta; Magnoliopsida; Rosales; Rosaceae. The record is from RNAcentral.